Molecule: ribosomal RNA, 84 nt
Filed under: Tupaia belangeri (northern tree shrew)
Lineage: Eukaryota; Metazoa; Chordata; Mammalia; Scandentia; Tupaiidae
Source: RNAcentral
GUUUAUGGCCAUUCCACCCUGAACACACCCUUAUCCCAUCUGAUCUGGGAAGCUGAGCAGGGUUCAACCUGGUUGGCUUAGAUG